RNAcentral lists this long non-coding RNA (827 nucleotides) under Phasianus colchicus (ring-necked pheasant). RNAcentral's name for it is "lncRNA (ENSPCLG00000012571.1)". Lineage: Eukaryota; Metazoa; Chordata; Aves; Galliformes; Phasianidae. The record is from RNAcentral.
AGCAGGGGAGCUGGAACUAGAUGAUCUUAAAGGCCCCUUCCAAUCCAAUCCAUUCUAUGAUUCUAUGAUCCUGUAGCUGCUCUGAGAAGAUAGAGCAAGAUUUCACUCAUUCUCUGGGCAAGAACCAAAUGGAGGUGUCACACUGGUAGAUGAAGAAGGUAAUAGAGAUGUAAUGUUAUUAUCCUUCAGUAUAAAAAACACUGAAAAUGAAUGUGACUACUUUACAGCAGCCUGACAGUCCUGUUGGAAAAGGAAAUGCCGGAAGAGCGCAGUAUAUCAGGAAAGACUCGCAGUAAUAUGGAGCCACUACUAGGGUAGCGAAAUCCAGAUCAACCAAGGCAUGAGAGGAACUCACCUAUCAACAAGUAGUUCACUGAUGGUCAUCCAACACUUUCACAAAAUGAGAACAAUGAGCCAUAUCUUUUUCAUCUGAAAACAUCCAGAAGAUAAGAUUAGAUGUGGAAUACAAAAUUUUGUGAUGAAAAUGUGUUCAUUUUCAUAAAAAUUUGGAGUAGAAAAUUCAUUAUGGGGAUCUUACAUAUUUAAAGAAUAAGUAUCUAUCUGAUUAUUAAAUCCCAUGUUCAUAUAUUUUAAAGUUAUGACUAGCUGUGCAUAUAUACUUGUAUUGUUUCAGUCACUUAUGUUGUGAGAGGUUGUACUCUCCAUUUUACAGUCACUGAAAUUUCAGAUAAUUCAUUUUACACUGAACUCUGCCCACACUGUUUUAUUGAAAUGACAUGCUGAAAAUUAUUCCAAUAUGUAAUUUGGGGAGGAAAAUGGAUUUCUUGAAUGAAAAGAAUUACAGCAGCAAAGAACAGCAUGCCAUU